Molecule: long non-coding RNA, 1319 nt
Filed under: Homo sapiens (human)
Lineage: Eukaryota; Metazoa; Chordata; Mammalia; Primates; Hominidae
Description: HSALNT0097690
Source: RNAcentral
ACAGGAAGCAAGGAUCUGCCACUUUGCCUUGAUGUUGCAGUGUCUGGUGGAGACAUCUGGAACCACUGUGGCCAUGUUACUGCCAGGCUGAGGAUGAAAUUAACACUGAGACAGGGAGGAUGGCUGGAAGGAGCCCACUCUGGUGGCAAUGCUCAGUUACCGCAGUGCCAGUCCUGGAGCCUGACCUACCCAUGGGGUUUCUAAUACGAAAGAGAAGCCAGCUCUAUAAUUUCACAAAGUCUCCCCACCUUACUCAUCUCGAGUAGUGACCACCGUGAAUGGUCCCACCGCCAGCCUCUUGGGAGGCAGCCGGGGAAAGCACUCCAUCCUGGGACUUAGGAGCAUGAACUCUGGAGAAACACAGACCUGUGUUCAAAUCCGAGUCCACUGCGUCCUCACAAUGUGAUCUUGGGCCACAUGAGUUUUGCAGAGCAGACGUAGAAAGCAGAGAAUGAAAAAAAGAAAAAGAGGAGAGAUCUGAAGCCAGAAUGGGCGUCAUGCAAGAGGCUCUAGAGUUGCAGACAGUUGCAGCCCAGAUACGACGUGCAAAGAGAGACAUCCCAGAUCUCCCACACAGAACUCCGGCGCGCUUUGAAGUGUUGACAACACAUAAAAUUAAAAGCAUCACAAUGCGAAUUAUCACGUUGUUUUUUCCACUUUGAUAGCCUCUACAAAGCAUUUUAUACCGAUGAAUCAAUACAAAUGUCUCUUUAUAAAGACAUUGGAAACAAAAAGAUACAUUUUUUUUUUUCCUUAAGAGAAACCGACACAACUAACAAAAAGAUUUCAGCCCUGGCUUGCAGGAUAGCUCUAGGUAACAUAGUGAGUUUGUCUCUCCUUUUCACAGUGGCCUUGGAGGUCACUGCUGUCUACUUGCUUGGGUCAAUCAUUCAGCCUCCGGAUGAAUGUUCUGCCUGCUGAUUAGUCAGCACCAUGAGAUGAGACAAACAAGCCACAAUUGCAUUGCUAUUGCCUCCUGACUGCACACACAUGUGUGUGCACAUGUAUAAGAAUAUAUACAGUGUGUGUAAAUAUAUAGAGGCGUGUGUGUGUGUGUGUGUGUAUUUUGUGGUUUGGUAAAAUAAAGCUUGCAAAUUAGGAUUAAUUUAUAACUCGUUAUAAUUGGAUUAUUGGCUGGGACUCCCUUUAUGUUACAGCAGAUGGACUUUUGCGUGAAAUAUUUUCCCUGAGUUGCUAUAGAGAUGUGCCAAGAUCUCUCUGCUGAAGUGAUUCCCCGCAGGCCUGUUUGUUGUUGUGCCCGGUGCCGAAUCACUUGCAGGCUGAAUCACUUACAGCCCUCACAGAGGCUGAUGAAAGAG